GUCGAGCGGCGGACGGGUGAGUAAUGCCUAGGAAAUUGCCCUCGAUGUGGGGGAUAACCAUUGGAAACGAUGGCUAAUACCGCAUAAUGCCUACGGGCCAAAGAGGGGGACCUUCGGGCCUCUCGCGUCAGGAUAUGCCUAGGUGGGAUUAGCUAGUUGGUGAGGUAAUGGCUCACCAAGGCGACGAUCCCUAGCUGGUCUGAGAGGAUGAUCAGCCACACUGGAACUGAGACACGGUCCAGACUCCUACGGGAGGCAGCAGUGGGGAAUAUUGCACAAUGGGCGCAAGCCUGAUGCAGCCAUGCCGCGUGUGUGAAAAAAGCCUCUUCGGUUGUGAAAGCACUUUCCAUCCUGAGGAAGGGGAGGGUAAUUAAUAAGCUGCAUUAUUUUACGUUUACGACAGAAAAAACCCCCCGCUAAAAUUCCUGGCCCCCACCCCGCGGUAAUUACGAAGGGGGGGAACGGUUAUUCGAAUUUACUGGGGGCUAAAACGCAUGGGGGGGGGUUUUUUUUAAUCCCAAAAUGGAAAAACGGGGGUUAAACCUUGAAAAAAAUUUUUUAAAUGGGGGAAUAAAAUAAUGGAGAGGGGGGUAGAAAUUCUCAAGUUGUAAGCAGUGAAAUGCGUUAAAGAACUGAAAAAAAAACGUUGGCGAAAAGGGGGCCGCCCCGCUGGACAAGAUACUGACACUGCAGAUGCGAAAACCUGCGCGGGGAGCAAACACCAUUAGAUAACCCUCGUAGUACACACCGUACAACAAUGUCUACCUUCGACGGUUGUGGCUCUCUCACCCCCCCCCCUUCGAAGCUAACGCGCGCGGUUAAGUAGACAGCGCCUGCGGAGAGUACGGUCGCAAGAUUAAAACUCAAAUGAAUUGACGGGGGCCCGCACAAGCGGUGGAGCAUGUGGUUUAAUUCGAUGCAACGCGAAGAACCUUACCUACUCUUGACAUCCAGAGAACUUUCCAGAGAUGGAUUGGUGCCUUCGGGAACUCUGAGACAGGUGCUGCAUGGCUGUCGUCAGCUCGUGUUGUGAAAUGUUGGGUUAAGUCCCGCAACGAGCGCAACCCUUAUCCUUGUUUGCCAGCGAGUAAUGUCGGGAACUCCAGGGAGACUGCCGGUGAUAAACCGGAGGAAGGUGGGGACGACGUCAAGUCAUCAUGGCCCUUACGAGUAGGGCUACACACGUGCUACAAUGGCGCAUACAGAGGGCAGCAAGCUAGCGAUAGUGAGCGAAUCCCAAAAAGUGCGUCGUAGUCCGGAUUGGAGUCUGCAACUCGACUCCAUGAAGUCGGAAUCGCUAGUAAUCGUGGAUCAGAAUGCCACGGUGAAUACGUUCCCGGGCCUUGUACACACCGCCCGUCACACCAUGGGAGUGGGCUGCAAAAGAAGUAGGUAGUUAACCUUCGGGAGGACGCUACC
Molecule: ribosomal RNA, 1419 nt
Filed under: Vibrionaceae bacterium WEED4
Lineage: Bacteria; Pseudomonadati; Pseudomonadota; Gammaproteobacteria; Vibrionales; Vibrionaceae
Description: 16S ribosomal RNA
Rfam family: Bacterial small subunit ribosomal RNA
Source: RNAcentral